Molecule: ribosomal RNA, 254 nt
Filed under: uncultured bacterium
Lineage: Bacteria
Description: partial 16S ribosomal RNA
Rfam family: Bacterial small subunit ribosomal RNA
Source: RNAcentral
UACGAAGGGGGCUAGCGUUGCUCGGAAUCACUGGGCGUAAAGGGUGCGUAGGCGGGUCUUUAAGUCAGGGGUGAAAUCCUGGAGCUCAACUCCAGAACUGCCUUUGAUACUGAAGAUCUUGAGUUCGGGAGAGGUGAGUGGAACUGCGAGUGUAGAGGUGAAAUUCGUAGAUAUUCGCAAGAACACCAGUGGCGAAGGCGGCUCACUGGCCCGAUACUGACGCUGAUGCACGAAAGCGUGGGGAGCGAAACAGG